AUGUUGGGUUAAGUCCCGCAACGAGCGCAACCCUUAUCUUCAGUAGCCAGCAUUUAGGAUGGGCACUCUGGAGAGACUGCCAGGGAUAACCUGGAGGAAGGUGGGGAUGACGUCAAAUCAUCAUGCCCCUUAUGGGCAGGGCUACACACGUGCUACAAUGGCGUAAACAAAGGGAGGCAGAGCCGCGAGGCCGAGCAAAUCUCAAAAAUAACGUCUCAGUUCGGAUUGUAGUCUGCAACUCGACUACAUGAAGCUGGAAUCGCUAGUAAUCGCGAAUCAGAAUGUCGCGGUGAAUACGUUCCCGGGUCUUGUACACACCGCCCGUCACACCAUGGGAGUCAGUAACGCCCGAAGUCAGUGACCCAACCGCAAGGAGGGAGCUGCCGAAGGCGGGACCGAUAACUGGGGUGAAGUCGUAACAAGGUAGCCUCAGUCAGUCA
Molecule: ribosomal RNA, 440 nt
Filed under: uncultured bacterium
Lineage: Bacteria
Description: bacterial SSU rRNA
Rfam family: Bacterial small subunit ribosomal RNA
Source: RNAcentral